GAUGAACGCUGGCGGCGUGCCUAAUACAUGCAAGUCGAGCGAACAGACGAGGAGCUUGCCUCUCUGACGUUAGCGGCGGACGGGGGAGUAACACGUGGAUAACCUACCUAUAAGACUGGGAUAACUUCGGGAAACCGGAGCUAAUACCGGAUAAUAUAUUGAACCGCAUGGUUCAAUAGUGAAAGACGGCUUUGCUGUCACUUAUAGAUGGAUCCACGCCGCAUUAGCUAGUUGGUAAGGUAACGGCUUACCAAGGCAACGAUGCGUAGCCGACCUGAGAGGGUGAUCGGCCACACUGGAACUGAGACACGGUCCAGACUCCUACGGGAGGCAGCAGUAGGGAAUCUUCCGCAAUGGGCGAAAGCUUGACGGAGCAACGCCGCGUGAGUGAUGAAGGUCUUCGGAUCGUAAAACUCUGUUAUUAGGGAAGAACAAAUGUGUAAGUAACUAUGCACUUCUUGACGGUACCUGAUCAGAAAGCCACGGCUAACUACGUG
RNAcentral lists this ribosomal RNA (497 nucleotides) under uncultured bacterium. RNAcentral describes it as "partial 16S ribosomal RNA". It matches the Rfam family "Bacterial small subunit ribosomal RNA", at positions 28 to 507 of the family's 1533-position model. The record is from RNAcentral.